This 370-nucleotide ribosomal RNA is filed under the name uncultured bacterium. RNAcentral describes it as "bacterial SSU rRNA". It matches the Rfam family "Bacterial small subunit ribosomal RNA", at positions 52 to 420 of the family's 1533-position model. The record is from RNAcentral.
CACAUGCAAGUCGAACGGUAGCACAGAGAGCUUGCUCUCGGGUGACGAGUGGCGGACGGGUGAGUAAUGUCUGGGAAACUGCCUGAUGGAGGGGGAUAACUACUGGAAACGGUAGCUAAUACCGCAUAACGUCGCAAGACCAAAGAGGGGGACCUUCGGGCCUCUUGCCAUCAGAUGUGCCCAGAUGGGAUUAGCUAGUAGGUGGGGUAACGGCUCACCUAGGCGACGAUCCCUAGCUGGUCUGAGAGGAUGACCAGCCACACUGGAACUGAGACACGGUCCAGACUCCUACGGGAGGCAGCAGUGGGGAAUAUUGCACAAUGGGCGCAAGCCUGAUGCAGCCAUGCCGCGUGUAUGAAGAAGGCCUUCG